UCCCCAAGGCAGGGGUCAAAGAGACACCUCGUUGUUGGUGGUGUUCUUUUAUCAGUCAGAGGAGACAGCAAUCUUUUGUUCAUUCUGAGUUGAUGCCUGGUUUGGUGGCCAAAGCUGUCUUAUGCUUAGGACUCAUAA
Small nucleolar RNA from Mus pahari (shrew mouse), 138 nucleotides. RefSeq annotates it as small nucleolar RNA SNORA48. The record is from RefSeq and is a predicted model, not a curated record. The transcript has a single exon. Lineage: Eukaryota; Metazoa; Chordata; Mammalia; Rodentia; Muridae.